GGGCCCAUAGCUCAGCUGGUUAGAGCACCUGACUCAUAAUCAGGGGGUCCAUGGUUCGAGCCCAUGUGGGCCCA
Molecule: transfer RNA, 74 nt
Filed under: Flavobacteriales bacterium
Lineage: Bacteria; Pseudomonadati; Bacteroidota; Flavobacteriia; Flavobacteriales
Also listed under: 2 other names
Description: tRNA-Ile
Rfam family: tRNA
About the family: Transfer RNA (tRNA) molecules are approximately 80 nucleotides in length. Their secondary structure includes four short double-helical elements and three loops (D, anti-codon, and T loops).
Source: RNAcentral